GGCGCACGGGUGCGUAACACGUAUGUAACCUACCUUGUUCAGGGGGAUAGCCUCUCGAAAGAGAGAUUAACACCGCAUAAGAUCAAUUUAUGGCAUGAAUGAUCAAAUAUUUAUAGGAACAAGAUGGGCAUGCGGAACAUUAGCUAGUUGGUAAGGUAACGGCUUACCAAGGCUACGAUGUUUAGGGGAUCUGAGAGGAUGACCCCCCACACUGGUACUGAGACACGGACCAGACUCCUACGGGAGGCAGCAGUAAGGAAUAUUGGUCAAUGGACGCAAGUCUGAACCAGCCAUGCCGCGUGCAGGAAGACGGCCCUACGGGUUGUAAACUGCUUUUGUACCGGAAUAAACCUUUUCACGUGUGAGAAGCUGAAUGUACGGUAAGAAUAAGGAUCGGCUAACUCCGUGCCAGCAGCCGCGGUAAUACGGAGGAUCCAAGCGUUAUCCGGAUUUAUUGGGUUUAAAGGGUGCGUAGGUGGCCUAUUAAGUCAGGGGUGAAAGACGGUAGCUUAACUAUCGCAGUGCCUUUGAUACUGAUGGGCUUGAAUACACUUGAGGUAGGCGGAAUGUGACAAGUAGCGUUGAAAUGCAUAGAUAUGUCACAGAACACCAAUUGCGAAGGCAGCUUACUAAAGUGUUAUUGACACUGAGGCACGAAAGCGUGGGGAUCAAACAGGAUUAGAUACCCUGGUAGUCCACGCCCUAAACGAUGAAUACUCGAUGUUGGCGAUAUACGGUCAGCGUCUAAGCGAAAGCGUUAAGUAUUCCACCUGGGGAGUACGCCCGCAAGGGUGAAACUCAAAGGAAUUGACGGGGGCCCGCACAAGCGGAGGAGCAUGUGGUUUAAUUCGAUGAUACGCGAGGAACCUUACCCGGGCUUGAAAGUUAGUGAAUGUGACAGAGACGUCACAGUCCUUCGGGACACGAAACUAGGUGCUGCAUGGCUGUCGUCAGCUCGUGCCGUGAGGUGUUGGGUUAAGUCCCGCAACGAGCGCAACCCCUAUGUUUAGUUGCCAGCAUGUAAUGAUGGGGACUCUAAACAGACUGCCUAUGCAAAUAGAGAGGAAGGAGGGGACGACGUCAAGUCAUCAUGGCCCUUACGUCCGGGGCUACACACGUGCUACAAUGGAUGGUACAGCGGGCAG
This 1145-nucleotide ribosomal RNA is filed under the name Mucilaginibacter carri. RNAcentral describes it as "bacterial SSU rRNA". It matches the Rfam family "Bacterial small subunit ribosomal RNA", at positions 97 to 1249 of the family's 1533-position model. Lineage: Bacteria; Pseudomonadati; Bacteroidota; Sphingobacteriia; Sphingobacteriales; Sphingobacteriaceae. The record is from RNAcentral.